This 753-nucleotide ribosomal RNA is filed under the name Triticum aestivum (bread wheat). Its description in RNAcentral is "partial small subunit ribosomal RNA". Lineage: Eukaryota; Viridiplantae; Streptophyta; Magnoliopsida; Poales; Poaceae. The record is from RNAcentral.
AUGAGCUUCGCUCAAGAGCAUAGCUCAUACCAAAACAAUCACUCUCAUGGGUGGCCUAAAAACCCGAAUAUGUCAUAUAGGAGCAACAACCCUGAGAUCUCACCGUUUGCCUCUAGUUAUCCAAUGCAAGGAUUUAGGUACAAUGAGGAGAGCCACAACUAUGCUCCACAACAGAUUUAUUCAGCUCCUACUCAUAUACCUCAACACCAGGAGAUGUUGCCAAUGGAGUUAAAUGGUCCUCCAUUUGGUCAACCAACAACUCCAGCAACUGCUGAGCAAUCUCAUGUGCAAGUGCCCACACAAGAUGAAUUUGAUGAUAUAGACAAGCUCACAUUGCUUAGUCUCAAGUUCACUUGGAGUGCUGAAGAUGAUCCAAUUAGGCUGAUGAUACUAGAAGAAAUGAAGAAUAUCAAGAGUGGAAAAGAGCUAGUGGAUGAAGUAAGGAAGAUUGAUAAGAACAUCAACGCUGGUAGUACUAUCUCAUCUUUCCUUGAGCUGAGUGCUGCUGAGAUUUCUAGUCAUUCAUGUGAGGUUCCAACACCGUCACAUUUAGCUGAUCAAGAUAGCGAGAGCCCAGAGGAAGAGAUACCUCAGAUUGAAGAUGUACUCGAAGCCAAGGCACAAGAUGAUCCAGAGCUCAAAUGCCCAAGUGAUCAAGUUGAAGAUCCAAUGUCUAUCCCUCCCGAAGAAGUAAAAGAAGCUGCUGUAGAUGAAGAUGAAGAACCUGAGAUUCAUUUGCCUAUUGUCAUAUAA